Molecule: small nucleolar RNA, 130 nt
Organism: Rattus norvegicus (Norway rat)
Lineage: Eukaryota; Metazoa; Chordata; Mammalia; Rodentia; Muridae
Product: small nucleolar RNA SNORA29
Source: Ensembl
UUACACAUGCCAUUAAAUCCACCAUUAAAGCUAAAUGCUGUGCUUAUGGGAUAAAUUAAAGGUGCCAUGAUCUGAAGGGAGAGGGCUUUUCCGUGCCCUCCCUCUAUAUGAAAUGGUUGGAGAGUGAAAA